CAACAGGGAUUGCCUCAGUAACGGCGAGUGAAGCGGCAACAGCUCAAAUUUGAAAUCUGGCUCUUUCAGGGUCCGAGUUGUAAUUUGCAGAAGAUGCUUUGGGUGAGGCACCGGUCCAAGUUCCUUGGAACAGGACGUCAUAGAGGGUGAGAAUCCCGUACGUGAUUGGUACCUUUGCUCGUGUAAAGCUCUUUCGACGAGUCGAGUUGUUUGGGAAUGCAGCUCAAAAUGGGUGGUAAAUUUCAUCUAAAGCUAAAUAUUGGCCAGAGACCGAUAGCGCACAAGUAGAGUGAUCGAAAGAUGAAAAGCACUUUGGAAAGAGAGUUAAACAGUACGUGAAAUUGUUGAAAGGGAAGCGCUUGCAACCAGACUUGGGCGUCGUUGAUCAUCCGGGGCUCGCCCCGGUGCACUCGGCGGCGCGCAGGCCAGCAUCGGUUUCGGUGGGCGGAUAAAGGCCUUGGGAAUGUGGCUCUUCGGAGUGUUAUAGCCCUCGGUGCAAUGCGCCCUAUCGAGACCGAGGACCGCGCUUCGGCUAGGAUGCUGGCGUAAUGGUUGUAAGCGACCCGUCUUGAAACACGGACCAAGGAGUCUAACAUCUAUGCGAGUGUUUGGGUGUCAAACCCAUACGCGAAAUGAAAGUGAACGGAGGUGAGAACCCUUUAGGGUGCAUCAUCGACCGAUCCUGAUGUCUUCGGAUGGAUUUGAGUAAGAGCAUAGCUGUUGGGACCCGAAAGAUGGUGAACUAUGCCUGAAUAGGGUGAAGCCAGAGGAAACUCUGGUGGAGGCUCGCAGCGGUUCUGACGUGCAAAUCGAUCGUCAAAUUUGGGUAUAGGGGCGAAAGACUAAUCG
RNAcentral lists this ribosomal RNA (849 nucleotides) under Dothideomycetes sp. JG-2021a. RNAcentral's name for it is "partial large subunit ribosomal RNA". It matches the Rfam family "Eukaryotic large subunit ribosomal RNA", at positions 66 to 937 of the family's 3401-position model. Lineage: Eukaryota; Fungi; Ascomycota; Dothideomycetes. The record is from RNAcentral.